Molecule: ribosomal RNA, 298 nt
Filed under: uncultured eukaryote
Lineage: Eukaryota
Description: partial 18S ribosomal RNA
Rfam family: Eukaryotic small subunit ribosomal RNA
Source: RNAcentral
CCCUUAGACACUCUAGGCGGCACGCGCGCUACAAUGGGUGGAAGUACGUGUUACUGCCUCCGAAAGGAGGGGUGAAUCACGAAUUCUUGCCCGUGAAUGGGAUAGUUUGUUGCAAUUUUCGGACUUGAACUAGGAAUCCCUUGUAAACAUGCUCAAGAAUAGCGUGUUGAAUACGUCCCUGCCGUUUGUACACACCGCCCGUCGUUUCUUCCGACUGAUACUCAUUGUGAGUUGCAAGGACCCUUUAUUGGGAAAUUGCUGCAAAUGCUUUGUAUUGGAGGAAGAAAAAGUCGUAACA